Non-coding RNA from Paramuricea clavata, 309 nucleotides. The record is from the annotation of a GenBank genome assembly. NCBI's taxonomy places the organism in Eukaryota, Metazoa, Cnidaria, Anthozoa, Malacalcyonacea, Plexauridae.
UUGACUCAUGCAUAACGCGAAACUUUGGCUUCUCGAGCUUGUUUAGGUUUUCCAUUAACAACCUCCAAGCCUGUCCUCUUUCGGUUGACUUUGGCUUGAACAUAUACGGUUCUGUGACAAGAAGUUCCCUGACGAAGUAUUGUUCGUGUUCUUUUUUCCAAAUAAAUAGCUCCUUAUGUUCGUCCAUCUUAAAGUCGUUCUCAGCAGUACGAGUUUCUGAAGAAAUCUCGGCUUAUACGAGCAGACAAAAACAAGUUUCAGAGGUUUUUCCCGCCAAAACGCGCAAUGCUGAUGUAACUCGUACUUAAA